This is a long non-coding RNA of Paramormyrops kingsleyae, 894 nucleotides long. RefSeq lists it as uncharacterized. Lineage: Eukaryota; Metazoa; Chordata; Actinopteri; Osteoglossiformes; Mormyridae. The record is from RefSeq and is a predicted model, not a curated record.
CUCCUGUUGCUCAUACUGCCGCAGCCUCCAGAUGUUUAUUCCUUAAUACUUGUUUCUGUUUCACUUGUCUACCAACACAUAAGUAUUACUACCAGUAGUUAGUAGUACUGCUUUAAUAUUUCAUUGCAGGCCUUUUAACUGUGAAAGGCUUGAGUCAUAUUGCACACAUUACCCUUCUGUUACUCUUUUCAAAGUAAGAGUCCAUGUAGUCGAUAUUUGAAGGCCUGUAAUUGUUCUGUCUCUGUUAACAUAUCAAGUAUUACUGGCAAGAAGCGAAGGGCAACGAUCAGCCUCCGGUUAUUUUUUAAACUGACUGAGCUUUUGGGUAAGAAUAAUCCAAAGUUCAUGAGCCUGGGGUAUUGACUUGUCAUGAAAUAAAUUGUUUGAUAAGUUAACUGUGGCUCAGACAUUAACUCAGUGACAGGUGAAUGGUUCAUUGAAGACUGUGUAUAUUUUUCACUACAAUGCUAUGGUUAAGCGAGAUCUGAUGAGGACAGAAAGAUUUGACAUUGAGAAAAUGGGAAAUCAGACCCAUGAAUAAAUAUUUCCCCUUGGUAGGGGUGGGGCGGUGAGGUGAUAUAUACAGUACAAUAAAAACGGAAAAAUAUAAUACUUGUCUGGAGGAAAGGAAAGAGAUUUGGUUUUGUCAGAGAUGAGACGAGCUGAAUGAAGCUUGGCUGCAUGUACAUUUGGGGUUGGCACCUUUCCCCUGGGUCCACGCCUUCUGGUCCCUUGUAUCUAAGUGAAGUUCAAAAAGACAGAGACCCCACGAACAGCAAUGGACAGACUGGACCAAGCUUAUUCUUCUGUUGCUUAUGCUGUGGUGCAGAAACAUAUCAGUGCACCGAAAACCAAAAUUAGAUUUUUUGGCAAUAAAGUAUGACCCCAAGCUGA